Molecule: ribosomal RNA, 465 nt
Filed under: uncultured bacterium
Lineage: Bacteria
Description: partial 16S ribosomal RNA
Rfam family: Bacterial small subunit ribosomal RNA
Source: RNAcentral
CCUACGUGAGGCAGCAGUGGGGAAUAUUGCGCAAUGGGCGAAAGCCUGACGCAGCGACGCCGCGUGAGGGAUGAAGGUCUUCGGAUCGUAAACCUCUGUCAGCAGGGAAGAACGGUCACUGUGCUAAUCAGCAGUGAAUUGACGGUACCUGCAAAGGAAGCACCGGCUAACUCCGUGCCAGCAGCCGCGGUAAUACGGAGGGUGCGAGCGUUAAUCGGAAUUACUGGGCGUAAAGCGCUCGUAGGCGGUAUGUCAAGUCAAGGGUGAAAUCCCCGAGCUCAACGUGGGAACUGCCUUUGAAACUGGCAAACUGGAGUGUGUGAGAGGAUAGUGGAAUUCCAGGUGUAGGAGUGAAAUCCGUAGAGAUCUGGAGGAACAUCAGUGGCGAAGGCGACUAUCUGGCACAUAACUGACGCUGAGGAGCGAAAGCGUGGGUAGCAAACAGGAUUAGAUACCCCUGUAGUC